Molecule: transfer RNA, 72 nt
Filed under: Cavia porcellus (domestic guinea pig)
Lineage: Eukaryota; Metazoa; Chordata; Mammalia; Rodentia; Caviidae
Rfam family: tRNA
About the family: Transfer RNA (tRNA) molecules are approximately 80 nucleotides in length. Their secondary structure includes four short double-helical elements and three loops (D, anti-codon, and T loops).
Source: Rfam by way of RNAcentral
GCAGAUGUAGUUCAGUGGUAAAGUGCCUGCCUAGCAUGCAGGAGGUGGUGGGUUCAAUCCCCAGCAACGGAA